AACGCGAAGAACCUUACCCAGGCUCGAAAUGCAGUGGACAGCAUCAGAAAUGAUGUGUUCCGAAAGGACCGCUGUAUAGGUGCUGCAUGGCUGUCGUCAGCUCGUGCCGUGAGGUGUUGGGUUAAGUCCCGCAACGAGCGCAACCCUUAUCAUUAGUUGCCAACACGUGAAGGUGGGGACUCUAAUGAGACUGCCUAGGUUAACUAGGAGGAAGGUGAGGAUGACGUCAAGUCCGCAUGGCCUUUAUGUCUGGGGCUACACACGUGCUACAAUGGUCGGUACAGAAGGCAGCAAGACCGUAAGGUGGAGCAAAUCCCUAAAGCCGAUCUCAGUUCAGAUUGUAGUCUGCAACUCGACUACAUGAAGUUGGAAUUGCUAGUAAUGACGUGUCAGCAACAACGUCGUGAAUACGUUCCCGGGCCUUGUACCACCGGUAUA
This 438-nucleotide ribosomal RNA is filed under the name uncultured bacterium. RNAcentral describes it as "bacterial SSU rRNA". It matches the Rfam family "Bacterial small subunit ribosomal RNA", at positions 958 to 1386 of the family's 1533-position model. The record is from RNAcentral.